This 60-nucleotide transfer RNA is filed under the name Acinetobacter gyllenbergii NIPH 230. RNAcentral's name for it is "tRNA-Ser". It matches the Rfam family "tRNA", at positions 15 to 71 of the family's 71-position model. From Rfam's summary of the family: Transfer RNA (tRNA) molecules are approximately 80 nucleotides in length. Their secondary structure includes four short double-helical elements and three loops (D, anti-codon, and T loops). Lineage: Bacteria; Pseudomonadati; Pseudomonadota; Gammaproteobacteria; Moraxellales; Moraxellaceae. The record is from RNAcentral.
AUGGUAGCAUGACGGUCUCCAAAACCGUUCGUCAAGGUUCGAGUCCUUGAUCCUCUGCCA